This 497-nucleotide ribosomal RNA is filed under the name uncultured bacterium. RNAcentral's name for it is "partial 16S ribosomal RNA". It matches the Rfam family "Bacterial small subunit ribosomal RNA", at positions 28 to 507 of the family's 1533-position model. The record is from RNAcentral.
GACGAACGCUGGCGGCGUGCCUAAUACAUGCAAGUUGAGCGAUGAAGAUUGGUGCUUGCACCAAUUUGAAGAGCAGCGAACGGGUGAGUAACGCGUGGGGAAUCUGCCUUUGAGCGGGGGACAACAUUUGGAAACGAAUGCUAAUACCGCAUAACAACUUUAAACAUAAGUUUUAAGUUUGAAAGAUGCAAUUGCAUCACUCAAAGAUGAUCCCGCGUUGUAUUAGCUAGUUGGUGAGGUAAAGGCUCACCAAGGCGAUGAUACAUAGCCGACCUGAGAGGGUGAGCGGCCACAUUGGGACUGAGACACGGCCCAAACUCCUACGGGAAGCAGCAGUAGGGAAUCUUCGGCAAUGGACGAAAGUCUGACCGAGCAGCGCCGCGUGAGUGAAGAAGGUUUUCGGAUCGUAAAACUCUGUUGGUAGAGAAGAACGUUGGUGAGAGUGGAAAGCUCAUCAAGUGACGGUAACUACCCAGAAAGGGACGGCUAACUACGUG